This is a non-coding RNA of Dermatophagoides farinae (American house dust mite), 711 nucleotides long. NCBI's taxonomy places the organism in Eukaryota, Metazoa, Arthropoda, Arachnida, Sarcoptiformes, Pyroglyphidae. The record is from RefSeq and is a predicted model, not a curated record.
UUUUUUUCAUUUCGUCAUCAUCAUCAUCAUCAUUUUGUUUGUUUUUCUCCUUUCUCAUUCUUCUCUUUUUUUUCUCGCCGUUUAUCUCGAUUUACAACGACAAACAAACGAAAACAUUUAAAGCCAUUCAUCAUUCGAAAAAUAACUACAACAACGACGACGACGACAACAACAAUUAAUAACAAAGUGAAACGAAUCGUAACAAUUCAAUAUCGCAUAUUUAAUAAUUUUGUUUCAAUUUAAAAUUUUUUUUUCUCUUCAUAAAUUGAUUUGUGGUGUUCAACAUUCCAUAGGCAAAAAAAGUCAUGUCGAAAUAGUUUCCUCUUCCUCAUUCAUCAUUUUUUUCUGGGCAAAAAAAAAUUUUCACGACACAAAAUCUAGUUCAACACAAGUGUAAUAAAACAGCAGUUUGUUGUAAAUUUUUUUUCUCCUUCCUCUUUCAAUCGUUUCGUUUCUCUUUUCCUGAAUAAAAUAAAACAAUAUCUGGAAAAAAUAUCCGAAUAUUAUCUUUUGAUUCAGCAACAACAACAACAACAACAAUUUGAAUUAAUCUUUGAGGAAAAAUGAAAUAAAAUCCAUUUAUUCAAUGUGGGUGAAACAUGAAAGACGAAUUAAAGAGAAAGAAAAUGUUUUGAGAGAGAAAAACAAAACAAAAAAAAAUUCAAAUUACUGCUAUAUUGGCCACGGACUUUUGUUGGACUGAAGAAAAAA